AAACAAUCUUUGCUUGGUUCCGGAUAGGACUCUUCGUAUUUUUCUAGUUUUUUUGAUGUUUUUUUUUAUGAUUGUUUGCCAAAGAAGUGCCAAAAACUUGGUGUAGGCUAAUUAUUUAUCGUUCAGAAUCUACUGAACUAGUUUUGAGGACUGUUAUUAUUUAUCGGUCAGUGAAAAUGCCCGACGGGAAUUGACCAGUUUCAGUCGCUAUGAAUCACUAACUGUGAGAACAAAAAAGUCGAUCUCGCUUGCCGGAAAGAGAAGUGCAAGAACGACUAUCCAAACUGGCGACUUCAGGAGUGUAAACAGAAAAUUAGCAAGCAACCACUUGGCUGCCGUUGAUUUAAGGUGUCGUGAAGGCGGUUUGCUGUGGCAUUCCGGACAAGUUGAACCGCACCACGGAGGACGUGGUGACGUUCGAUGCGCACUGUUUUCCGCACCUGGUAGAGAAGUUGCAGCUGGACCUGCAUGAAAUGCGGUUUUCACAUUGCGUCCAGUGGGUGGAGGGCGCCAAGUUGAACCAGUUGAGGAGGGAAGGCAUUGGGUACUCGCGGUUAUUGCUGUACGACUAUGAUAUCCACUUCCUGCCGCGCAACAUCAUCCACCAGUUCCGAACGGUGACGGCCGUUACGAGUAUAGCGUGGCAUCUGCGGCUCAAGCAGUACUAUCCGGACCGAGAUACAGACAAGUAGAUUUUGCAGAAGAUUGCCAACGAGUACGAGGUGAAAUAAACAGUUCAAUGAUAGUAGGAAGAGCAGUAGCAGUUCGAGCCAUAAGCACUCGUCGUCGUCUUCGUCACAAGAAUCACAGCAGUAAUGGUGGAAGUAACAGUAAGAAGAACAGGCACCGCUCAAAAUACGAGCGGGACAAGAAUAAAGACUGGAACGGCACUCGGAGCGCGAUUGGGAGAGGGAAAAGGACCGUCACCGCACAAGCACAGUUCUUCUUCGAGUCAUCAGGCCUGCCCAAAACGACAAAAC
Long non-coding RNA from Culex pipiens pallens (northern house mosquito), 980 nucleotides. RefSeq lists it as uncharacterized. Lineage: Eukaryota; Metazoa; Arthropoda; Insecta; Diptera; Culicidae. The record is from RefSeq and is a predicted model, not a curated record. The transcript has 3 exons.